Molecule: ribosomal RNA, 404 nt
Filed under: uncultured bacterium
Lineage: Bacteria
Description: bacterial SSU rRNA
Rfam family: Bacterial small subunit ribosomal RNA
Source: RNAcentral
UGGGGAAUAUUGCGCAAUGGGGGAAACCCUGACGCAGCAACGCCGCGUGAGUGAUGAAGGCUUUCGAGUCGUAAAACUCUGUCUUUGGGGACGAAUAAUGACGGUACCCAAGGAGGAAGCCCCGGCUAACUACGUGCCAGCAGCCGCGGUAAUACGCAGGGGGCAAGCGUUGUCCGGAAUCACUGGGCGUAAAGGGCGCGUAGGCGGUUUGUUAAGUCAGGUGUGAAAGUUUUCAGCUUAACUGGAAAAGUGCACUUGAAACUAACUUACUUGAGUACUAGAGAGGUAAGCGGAAUUCCUAGUGUAGCGGUGAAAUGCGUAGAUAUUAGGAAGAACACCGGUGGCGAAGGCGGCUUACUGGACAGAGACUGACGCUGAGGCGCGAAAGCGUGGGGAGCGAACAG